RNAcentral lists this long non-coding RNA (3465 nucleotides) under Carica papaya (papaya). RNAcentral's name for it is "long non-coding RNA (CPAP_LNC012282)". Lineage: Eukaryota; Viridiplantae; Streptophyta; Magnoliopsida; Brassicales; Caricaceae. The record is from RNAcentral.
GUUAGUGUAUAUAAAUAAAUGGAAUACAGACGUGUGGAUGGAAAUUCUAGGAUGAUUUGCACAGUAUAAUAGAAGGGAAAGGUGUGUUUCCUGGAUGGUUUUGUGAAUCAAUUUUUUCGGCAUCUGUCCUGUGUUUCUCAAUGGAGUUUUGUCCAGACUGCAGAUAACAAAACGAAGAUUCUAAUGUGAUUUAAAUGGAUUCAAAUGGUUGACAUUUGCUUAUCCUGUGAGCUCUUGAAUGCCAAACAGUUUUUUUGGGGUGAACUACUUACAGUUACAAUCUAAGAAAACUAUAUUACAUCUAUAAAAAAGAAACUAUUCUGCAUUUAGAUAAUUUCUGUAAAUUUGUCUUCUUUUGUUAAUAUUUAAAAUUAAAAUAUAUGCAGAAAUUGGAUGGUUAAUAUAAAUUAAAAAAAAUAUUUAAUGAUCAAGAACAAAUACUUUAAAGCCAAUUCGUAAAAAACAACCUUCAAUAAAAAAAAAUACUAAAAAACAACCUAAAAUAUCUCUAAAUACUCUUAUUUGAUCAUUAUAUUUACACAAUUAAAAAACUCUUAACAUCAUAUAAAUAAUUCAGUAAUGUUAUGACUCUUUUAGACAAUUUUUAUAUAUUUAACAUAUAAUAUUCUAUAUCACUUUUGAAUUAUACUAAAUUUUUAAUUAAUACAAUUGCCAUUCGAAUCCAUAAAUCCGAACAUUACGACACUUUAUGUAGCACUAUCCCUUAUGCUAAAGAACUAUAAACAUAUCCAUAUCUGUGUUCCAUUAUGUCUUUGGCCAUUUUAUUCAUGCAACUUAAGAAACUAAUGAAAGAAUCGCACAUACAAAUGGGUAGACAACUCUUUAAAACUUAAAUAAGUUUCAUUUAUGGAUGGAGAGUGAUUUCGUAAUUUAGAAUUGUUUCUAAGAGAGCUAUUCUAUCCCUCUACAAAGUGAUCCUUCCGCCCUUUUACAGUCUUUUCCUAUUUUACCCUUCUUCCUAUAGCAAACUUUUGAGUAGUUUUCUUGAAGUAACAUACAGCAAUCAUCAGUACAACGAAAAUAAUCUAUCCGAUUUUGGACGUCACUUAAAGAGCAGACCCAAGAAAGAAACACACCAAGAUCAAACCAAUUGGCUCUCUGUCCAUAUUGGGUCACAAGUCUGCCCAGAAUUACAAACCAACCCCACAAAAGUUCUGUUAAUGCCUACUCACUUCACUCAAGACAUUGAUGGCAAAGACUUUCAAGUGCUGCCAGAAGCACCUUUUCACCUACCGAAAAGGAAAAAAAACCCUAUGCGCAGUAACUACUUGCAAAGGGCAAAAAAACUCAAAAUCAAAAGAAUAGCAUUCUAUUUUUCAAUUUUAAUGCACAAUUCAAAUAUUUUUUAAUAUUUUUAUACACAUUCAAAAAAUUUACAACUCUUUUAUGCACAGUUGAGGAUUUGUAUCUUUAGCAAAUAUUUUUUAAAAUGAGUUUCAUUUAGUUUGAAUUUUUCAGUUAAAAAUUAUUCAAAUUCUUCAUCAGCCCAAACCAUGACCAGAAUAAACUCCAACUACAAUAGUCCUAUUGUCCAAUCUAAUAUGCAUCUAAAAUUAGAUUUAAAUAAUUGAUGAGACUGGAUUGAAGUAUAAUCAACCUGAACCUAUUCAUUUUUUAUCUUAUCGUUUUAGAAUUUACAAUUUUUAAUAUCCCAAUUUACAUUAGAUCAGCAAUCAGUUUGUGUCAAAUUUAAUCUACCCUUUAUGUUCAUAACUAACAAUUUAAAUAUAUAACAAAAUGAAUUAAUAAAAGAUAUGUAGAAUUGAUAAUUUCUUUUAAGGUAAGCAUAUUGAAAACUAUGAAAUUUUUUAAUUCAUAAUCAAAUUAAAUGUAUGCUUUCACAUUGAGCUUGGAGAUUAAAACAUAAUUUAUGCUCCUACUUUCAUGACGAAAGAAGCUUAUCUAACAUUACUUCAAUCAAACAGAGACAAUUUUGAAAACCACUAAGCAUCUCUCAACAAUUGGAUAUUUGGAUACAUUGUUUUGGUCUGCUGCAAUAUGACUUCAUCACACUCAUAAAUCAUGACGAGACAAACAGGAAAAGCAAACAUGAGGUGGGGAUAUGUUUAGUUCCAUUUCAAAAAAAAUAAUUUUUUAAGGUUAACGACACUCUUACCAAAAUUUAAUUUAAAUUAAGAUUAUAAAUGAUCUGAAACUGCCUCGGCCAACAAGAUAGAAACUCAAAUGAUUAUUCAAAAAGGGAGAGAGCGAUAGCGAGAGCAAGAUCGAGAGAGAGAGAGAGAGAGAGAGGGAGAAGAGGAGAGAGGAGAGAGGAGAGAGGGAGAUAGUGAGAGAGAAGAGAGGUUGGGAGAGAGAGAGAGAGAGAGAGGUCCUAACAUGGAUGGACCGGUCAAAGUCCACCUAAACCACCAUGUAUCAAGAAAUAAACCAACACUUCCAGAAUCCAGACAGAUAAUUUUAUCUGAAAUUUAAAAUUAAAACACCAAAUAAUACAUAAACAAAAACAUGCAUGUCAGAGAGGGAGUCUAGAACAUGAAAAUAUGAUACGUUCAAGGAUAAGAUCAAAACAGGAUUAAACAUCAUUGUGCCAUCUUCCUAAAUGCGGGCUGACAAAAUUGGCAUUACCUGGAAUAAUUCCAGUGGGAAUCUCGGUAAUGACUUUUGCAUUAUCACCCUAUCAGAGGCACCAUUGCUAACUCUUAAAUGUCAGAUUAUCCUGUUCCAGUUCAGCUACAGAUACUAAUGACUUCACCAGACAUGGAGAACAUGGACAGAACGAGGAAAAGAAAUAUGAAACCUAAACUCGUAACUAUUUACUCGAGGAGUUAACUUAUCCUUGUCCUCUCUAAUUAAAAGACCUAAACGGAUAUGGUUGAAAAAAAAUGAGUAAUACAUAGCUUUUAGAUGAUGCUUUAAACUGUCCCACCAAAAACAUUAUUCAGAAUCAUGCAAGCAAAUAACAGAGAAUGUUAAUGAAAUCCCCAACUAGUCAAACAAAGCAUGGAGAAUAAAGAAUAUAAGACCUUGAUGAUUAAAGACAAGAUGUACAGGCAGCAUCCACAACUUCCCAUGAAGCUGACCUUGGCAUCCAAAAUUGUGCGACCCAACACAUGUUAAAUCAUCUAAAAUCAUCACCAAAAAUGUAGAAAUGAAUCAACUACACAGAACUCAACAACCGAAUCAGAAAAGAUAUUAAACAAUUAUAUCUUUUGAAGAACCGAACCAUCACAACAAAAACAAAACUCUACAUUGACAAAGAUCCCCCAACUUGUACAGCCAAUUUGAAUUUAGCAUUCAAACAAAAUUGUCAACAUACGCUACAUAUACUUUGAACACUUACGUACAUCUCUUUUCAUUUAUGUUUUGACAAGGAAGGCAAUAGGCAGGCUAAAUUUUGCCAAACUUAACAAGUAAAACCACAUAUUAUUGAUAAUUGCCACAAGUUAUAACGGGUAAGAGAAGAAAGCCCAAUAUCCUGANNNN